This 253-nucleotide ribosomal RNA is filed under the name uncultured bacterium. RNAcentral describes it as "partial 16S ribosomal RNA". It matches the Rfam family "Bacterial small subunit ribosomal RNA", at positions 524 to 776 of the family's 1533-position model. The record is from RNAcentral.
UACGGAGGGGGCUAGCGUUGUUCGGAAUUACUGGGCGUAAAGCGCACGUAGGCGGAUUGUUAAGUCGGGGGUGAAAUCCCGGGGCUCAAACCCGGAAUGGCCUCCGAUACUGGCAAUCUUGAGGUCGGGAGAGGUGAGUGGAAUGGCGAGUGUAGAGGUGAAAUUCGUAGAUAUUUGCCGGAACACCAGUGGCGAAGGCGGCUCACUGGCCCGAUACUGACGCUGAGGUGCGACAGCGUGGGGAGCAAACAGC